UGUGUCUCUGUGCCUUGAGUACCCGUGUCUAUUGAAGAGCUGUGCCAUAAACCAUGUAAGAAGACUUUAAAAAAAUUCUCAGUGGAGUUUAAGAGUUGCUGGUUUGAGUUAGAAGUGGGUGGGGAAUUUAAAGACUUUUCUAUCUGGCCACGCUGGAUCCCAGUGCAGGUAGAGAAGUGCAAAAUGGUCGGUAUCUUCCAUCCUGGGAUGAGAACCACCUGUGCUGGGAGUAAGCCUGUCAUGAGAGCCCUUCACCAGCCUCUGUCUCAGCAGACAGACCAGGAGGACCAGACAGUGAUUCCAUUAAUUUUCAUUAUGAACUAUACUUGCCUCUUUCAUCUCAGGAAGAAAAGACUAUGACUGGAGGUACGUGACAGCUUUCCCUUUUUAGUUGCUGGAAAUAAGUUAAUAAAUGCAGUCACAAUCCAGGAUACCA
This 436-nucleotide long non-coding RNA is filed under the name Cyanistes caeruleus (blue tit). RNAcentral describes it as "lncRNA (ENSCCEG00000022819.1)". The record is from RNAcentral. Lineage: Eukaryota; Metazoa; Chordata; Aves; Passeriformes; Paridae.